Molecule: ribosomal RNA, 490 nt
Filed under: uncultured bacterium
Lineage: Bacteria
Description: partial 16S ribosomal RNA
Rfam family: Bacterial small subunit ribosomal RNA
Source: RNAcentral
AUUGAACGCUGGCGGCAGGCCUAACACAUGCAAGUCGAACGGUAACAGGAAACAGCUUGCUGUUUCGCUGACGAGUGGCGGACGGGUGAGUAAUGUCUGGGAAACUGCCUGAUGGAGGGGGAUAACUACUGGAAACGGUAGCUAAUACCGCAUAACGUCGCAAGACCAAAGAGGGGGACCUUCGGGCCUCUUGCCAUCGGAUGUGCCCAGAUGGGAUUAGCUAGUAGGUGGGGUAACGGCUCACCUAGGCGACGAUCCCCAGCUGGUCUGAGAGGAUGACCAGCCACACUGGAACUGAGACACGGUCCAGACUCCUACGGGAGGCAGCAGUGGGGAAUAUUGCACAAUGGGCGCAAGCCUGAUGCAGCCAUGCCGCGUGUAUGAAGAAGGCCUUCGGGUUGUAAAGUACUUUCAGCGGGGAUGAAGGGAGUAAAGUUAAUACCUUGGCUAAUUGACGUUACCCGCAGAAGAAGCACCGGCUAACUCCGUG